UGCUCAGAACGAACGCUGGCGGCAGGCUUAACACAUGCAAGUCGAGCGCCCCGCAAGGGGAGCGGCAGACGGGUGAGUAACGCGUGGGAACGUACCUUUUGCUACGGAAUAACUCAGGGAAACUUGUGCUAAUACCGUAUGUGCCCUUCGGGGGAAAGAUUUAUCGGCAAAGGAUCGGCCCGCGUUGGAUUAGCUAGUUGGUGAGGUAAAGGCUCACCAAGGCGACGAUCCAUAGCUGGUCUGAGAGGAUGAUCAGCCACACUGGGACUGAGACACGGCCCAGACUCCUACGGGAGGCAGCAGUGGGGAAUAUUGGACAAUGGGCGCAAGCCUGAUCCAGCCAUGCCGCGUGAGUGAUGAAGGCCCUAGGGUUGUAAAGCUCUUUCACCGGUGAAGAUAAUGACGGUAACCGGAGAAGAAGCCCCGGCUAACUUCGUGCCAGCAGCCGCGGUAAUACGAAGGGGGCUAGCGUUGUUCGGAUUUACUGGGCGUAAAGCGCACGUAGGCGGACUUUUAAGUCAGGGGUGAAAUCCCGGGGCUCAACCCCGGAACUGCCUUUGAUACUGGAAGUCUUGAGUAUGGUAGAGGUGAGUGGAAUUCCGAGUGUAGAGGUGAAAUUCGUAGAUAUUCGGAGGAACACCAGUGGCGGAAGGCGGCUCACUGGACCAUUACUGACGCUGA
RNAcentral lists this ribosomal RNA (681 nucleotides) under Ochrobactrum sp. RNAcentral describes it as "bacterial SSU rRNA". It matches the Rfam family "Bacterial small subunit ribosomal RNA", at positions 21 to 749 of the family's 1533-position model. Lineage: Bacteria; Pseudomonadati; Pseudomonadota; Alphaproteobacteria; Hyphomicrobiales; Brucellaceae. The record is from RNAcentral.